RNAcentral lists this ribosomal RNA (479 nucleotides) under uncultured anaerobic ammonium-oxidizing bacterium. RNAcentral's name for it is "bacterial SSU rRNA". It matches the Rfam family "Bacterial small subunit ribosomal RNA", at positions 364 to 833 of the family's 1533-position model. The record is from RNAcentral.
UUUCGCAAUGCCCGAAAGGGUGACGAAGCGACGCCGCGUGAGUGAGGAAGGCCUUCGGGUUGUAAAGCUCUGUCAGGAGUUAAGAAAUAUAAGUGUGUUAAUACCACAUUUAUUUGACGAAGGCUCCAAAGGAAGCCACGGCUAACUCUGUGCCAGCAGCCGCGGUAAUACAGAGGUGGCAAGCGUUGUUCGGAAUUAUUGGGCGUAAAGAGCACGUAGGUGGGUUUGUAAGUCAGAUGUGAAAGCCUUCUGUUCAACGGAAGAAUUGCGUCUGAAACUGCGAGUCUUGAGUGUAGGAGGGGAGAAUGGAACUUCUGGUGGAGCGGUGAAAUGCGUAGAUAUCAGAAGGAACGCCGGCGGCGAAAGCGAUUCUCUGGCCUAUUACUGACACUCAGUGUGCGAAAGCUAGGGGAGCAAACGGGAUUAGAUACCCCGGUAGUCCUAGCUGUAAACGAUGGGCACUAAGUAGAGGGGUUUUA